Molecule: long non-coding RNA, 1816 nt
Organism: Oreochromis aureus
Lineage: Eukaryota; Metazoa; Chordata; Actinopteri; Cichliformes; Cichlidae
Source: Ensembl
GAUACAACGACACAUAUCGGAUGACGAUAUGAAAAAGUCUAUCGUUUCAUAUUACGGCAAUAUUUUUUCAUCGUUUUUAUGGUCACUGUAGUAUUAAUUUCCAAACGGCGCCCCAUACUCUUUCGCUUAUAUUUAAUAUAACCACACUCCGGACGGACAAGCGACUGCUGUUAUGCGUUGUCGUUAGCAACAACGACGGUAAAACCAUACGCUGGGGCAAGAGGGGGAGAUUACCCACAAACUGAAUAUGGACAAGAUUUACUACGGCAGCGGAAGAAUCCGCUGGAAAAGGCACAAGAUAAAUGACAGGUUUCACGUCUCACCCCCUCAUUGCCUCCGUCCACUGCAGGCUCACACAGCACUCGGCAGAGAACUCCCCCGGAAACAUCCACGCAGCGCAUCUUGCUACCACCUUCAAGUUGUACUCAAGUUUAUAAAGAACCCAUGUCAAAGUAUUGUGGUUAAGUUAAAUCCAAUUUAUUAACCUACCUCUGAGAUGAAGUACAGUCUCUGUUAAUUUGAGUUUCCAUGAAACCGCGAUAAACAGGUAUUUGCGGGGGGUUUUAAAAUUACUAUAACCCUUUUUAGUUUAGUAAAUAUUGGCUAUAUUGAGAGGUCUUAUUUUAUUCUUACUUAAUUUUUCUAAUUUAUUUGAAUUAUGCCCUCCAAUUAAGAUAGAUUUUAUGUUGUUGGUAAAGAUCUGGAUGGUUAUUUCAUUUUAUUCUUCGGCUACGUCCACACGUACACGGGUAUUUUUGAAAACGGAGAUUUUCCGUUUUCGUUUUAAAAAAUAAUCCCGUCCACACGUAAACGCAGAAAUGAAGGAAAACGCUGCUAGGAACAUGCCAACGCAACAGGUGGCGAUAUAUUCCUAACCAUGUAGAAAUGUUGGCCAAUCAGAAGUCUAGAAGCCUCGGUAGGAAAUAGUAAACAAAGAUGGGGCAUAGAAGCAGAACCGAGUCCUAUGUGUGGAGGGACAGUAACUGUGUGUGUAUAUGUAAGCAUUUAAACACUGCAGAGAGUACAAUUAACAGUAUUGUAGAAAUUCAUUUCACCGAAACAAUAACGUGGCGCACAGUGUGACGUCAAAAAAGGCGCACACCUUUGACGCUGCGUUUUCUCCGUUUUUCUCGUCCACACGUAAAUGCAAAAACGGAGUUUUCGGAAAUAUCCACCCUGGCAGGCGUUUUUAAAAAUCUCCGUUUUCAGUGACCGAAAACGCCGUUUACGUGUGGACGAAAGGUGCAAACGCAUAGAAAAAUCUCCGUUUUCAAAGAUACCCGGCUUAUCACACAUUUGAUUUCCAUGUGUGACAACUGCAAGUGUCCAGAGUGAGGACAGACUGAGGGACCCACUGCUGCACAUCAUCUGUGAGGCUUUGCACCCCUGAUGAUCCACCAGGACAAACUCAGCAGAGUGUGAGGAAGAGGAGGAGGAAGAGCCAGCAGCAGCUGACAGAUGGAGAGAAUAGACAGACUGUUCCCUGUUUGUGAAGGACUGCUAGGAAAGUUUAACAUAACUAAUUGUCUGUCCUGAAUCAGUCUUAUUAGGUAAUGUUCAAAUAAUUUGAUCAUUCCAGUGUUUUCAGUGUGGGAGAAAGUACUCAGGGCCUUCAAGUUACACACUAUGAAAGGCAGCAACAAGUUUAAUAUUCAGAAACCUAAAGUAUGUAUCAGCAGCAGAAUGGAGCUAAAAAUAAAUGUUUGUUUCAGUUCUAUGAAGCUUUGAGUAUUUUGGAUUAGUAGUACUGCUGUGUUUGUUGCAUCAUAUUGCUGUAAUUGUUUAUAUGCUUUAUAUAUUCUGAGGUAAGUUGAUC